AGCAACCAGUACACUUCAGAAAGUAAGUUUCUUUCUUUUUUUCUUUAUUUUUCUAGGUUUACAAAGCUUAAUUGUGGACUGCCUUCAAGUGAGGUGAUUUGAUUGGUGCUGUGGCAGAAGACAGAGGAGAAUGUCUUUCCUUCAACCUCAGGGAAAAGGCUGGUGUCCAUCAGAAUCCCACCCUGCUGUGGGCAGCUGGGCUGUGCAUAGGUAGCAGCAAACCAAAAGCCAAACCAACUUAAAAUAGCAGAGGUUAUGAAUGAUGCCACAGAGUGAUCAGAGAUAUCCAAAGCAAGGGAAAGAUAUAAAAGAUAUUUAACAGUUUGCAUCGGUGUUUCCGUGUCUUGCCUGGAAGUCUUUACAAUCACCCCUGUAUCUGAGUUACAAGCAUUUCAACCAGCCAAUCAGAGAACUAAGGCAAACUCUAACUACUACAUGACCACUGAUGUGCCCUGAAUAGAAGGUGACAAACAUCUGAGUCCACAAAAUGUUUCAGGGGUUUUUGGCUAUUUAUCAAGUCAUUCUA
Long non-coding RNA from Numida meleagris (helmeted guineafowl), 526 nucleotides. RefSeq lists it as uncharacterized. NCBI's taxonomy places the organism in Eukaryota, Metazoa, Chordata, Aves, Galliformes, Numididae. The transcript has 5 exons. The record is from RefSeq and is a predicted model, not a curated record.